CUACGGGUGGCUGCAGUGAGGAAUAUUGGUCAAUGGGGGCAACCCUGAACCAGCCAUGCCGCGUGGAGGAAGACGGCCCUAUGGGUUGUAAACUCCUUUUGUAUGGGAAUAAUAAGGGUUACGUGUAAUCCGACGAAGGUACCAUACGAAUAAGCAUCGGCUAACUCCGUGCCAGCAGCCGCGGUAAUACGGAGGAUGCAGGCGUUAUCCGGAUUUAUUAGGUUUAAAGGGUGCGCAGGCGGCCCGGUAAGUCAGUGGUGAAAGUUUGCAGCUCAACUGUAAAAUUGCCAUUGAUACUGUCGGGCUUGAAUGUGGUAGAGGUAGGCGGAAUGUGUAGUGUAGCGGUGAAAUGCUUAGAUAUUACACAGAACACCGAUUGCGAAGGCAGCUUACUAUGCCAUGAUUGACGCUGAGGCACGAAAGCGUGGGGAGCGAACAGGAUUAGAUACCCUUGUAGUC
This 459-nucleotide ribosomal RNA is filed under the name uncultured bacterium. Its description in RNAcentral is "partial 16S ribosomal RNA". It matches the Rfam family "Bacterial small subunit ribosomal RNA", at positions 339 to 795 of the family's 1533-position model. The record is from RNAcentral.